AACGCGAAGAACCUUACCAGCCCUUGACAUCCCGGUCGCGGGAACGAGAGAUCGAUCCCUUCAGUUCGGCUGGACCGGAGACAGGUGCUGCAUGGCUGUCGUCAGCUCGUGUCGUGAGAUGUUGGGUUAAGUCCCGCAACGAGCGCAACCCUCGCCCUUAGUUGCCAUCAUUCAGUUGGGCUCUCUAAGGGGACUGCCGGUGAUAAGCCGCGAGGAAGGUGGGGAUGACGUCAAGUCCUCAUGGCCCUUACGGGCUGGGCUACACACGUGCUACAAUGGCGGUGACAGUGGGAUGCAAUGGGGCAACCCUGCGCAAAUCUCAAAAAGCCGUCUCAGUUCGGAUUGCACUCUGCAACUCGAGUGCAUGAAGUUGGAAUCGCUAGUAAUCGCAGAUCAGCACGCUGCGGUGAAUACGUUCCCGGGUCUGUACACACCG
Molecule: ribosomal RNA, 436 nt
Filed under: uncultured bacterium
Lineage: Bacteria
Description: bacterial SSU rRNA
Rfam family: Bacterial small subunit ribosomal RNA
Source: RNAcentral